This 440-nucleotide ribosomal RNA is filed under the name uncultured bacterium. Its description in RNAcentral is "partial 16S ribosomal RNA". It matches the Rfam family "Bacterial small subunit ribosomal RNA", at positions 338 to 795 of the family's 1533-position model. The record is from RNAcentral.
CCUACGGGAGGCAGCAGUAGGGAAUAUUGCUCAAUGGGGGAAACCCUGAAGCAGCAACGCCGCGUGGAGGAUGAAGGUUUUCGGAUUGUAAACUCCUUUUGUUAGAGAAGAUAAUGACGGUAUCUAACGAAUAAGCACCGGCUAACUCCGGGCCAGCAGCCGCGGUGAUACGGGGGGUGCAAGCGUUACUCGGAAUCACUGGGCGUAAAGAGGGCGUAGGCGGGAUAGCCAGUCAGGUGUGAAAUCCUAGGGCUUAACCAUAGAACUGCAUUUGAAACUGUUAUUCUUGAGUAUGGGAGAGGUAGGUGGAAUUCGUGGUGUAGGGGUAAAAUCCGUAGAGAUCAAGCGGAAUACUCAUUGCGAAGGCGACCUGCGAGAACAUAACUGACGCUGAUGCGCGAAAGCGUGGGGAGCAAACAGGAUUAGAUACCCGUGUAGUC